UCAACUCUACUUUAUAUUACCAAAAAAACACAAACACGGUGUUAGUUUGAGAGCGAGCAAAUUGUUGGAUUUACUAGAGCUAAAACCCUUUGAAAAACCCAGCUCAACUGGAGAAUAGCAAAAUUCUCGAGUUGGAGCAAUGGAGAAGAUGAGUGGGAAUUCGGGGUACAAGGAGUAUGUAGCUGGGCUCAUGGCCGGUAUUGCCAUUGUCAUUACCGGUCACCCUUUUGAUACCGUCAAGGUGAAGCUCCAGAAACACAAUACGGAAGCUCGUGGAAUAAAGUACAAGAAUGGAUUGCAUUGUGCUGCUCGAAUAUUAAAAACUGAAGGAGUUAAGGGGCUCUAUCGAGGAGCUACAUCUUCGUUCAUUGGCAUGGCCUUUGAGAGCUCACUUGUAUUUGGCAUUUAUUCCCAAACAAAAAUAUUGCUGCAGGGUGGACCUGAUGGAGGUAAGCCCCAGCCUCAAGCGAUAGUUCCUUCAGCUGCCUUUGGAGGAGCUAUUAUCAGCUUCAUUCUAUGUCCAUCAGAACUGGUGAAGUGUAGGAUGCAAGUUCAGGGUGCUGAUUCCGUGUUACCAAGCUCCAGUAGAUAUGGUGGUCCUCUUGAGUGUGCCCUUAAAACUGUAAAAUGUGAAGGGAUCACAGGCAUAUUUCGAGGAGGCUUCACAACCUUAUUAAGAGAAUCUUUCGGAAACGCUGUCUUCUUUAGUACAUAUGAAUAUGUGCGUUAUCACUUGCAUCUACAACGUAAAGGUGCUUCAUCCGAGUCUAGCCAAUUGAUUGAUAUUGGAGUUGGAAUAAUGAGUGGCGGUCUUGGCGGUAUAGCAUGCUGGUCAGCAGUUCUGCCGUUGGAUGUAGCAAAAACUAUAAUUCAAACUACCCCAGAGAAAAACCAUACGAGAAACCCGUUUCGUGUUUUAAAAUCGAUAUAUGCGAGAUCUGGUCUAAGAGGAUGCUAUAUGGGUCUAGGUCCUACAAUUGUGAGAGCGUUUCCUGCUAAUGCAGCUGCAAUUGUUACAUGGGAGCUGUCUGCCAAACUGUUGGGAAUCAAGCGUGAUUUCAACUAGUAAGAUAUCUUGGUUGCUGCCAAUAUUUAUUCUGGUUGCCUGCUGGCUUAAAGCUUUAGAGGCUCGUAGCAAGGAAAUGAUGGUGAUUCUGAGAAUACACCAGUAUCAGAUGUGAUCAAUCUCACCAGGGACUUGGGAGAAUCAGCAGUCAAGGCUUCCUGCCUGCUGGAAAAAGCAGGGGACGGCAAAGAAUCCCCAUUUGCGACUCCACUAACAGAUUGUUCUCCAUAUAUUUUUCAUUUAAAUUUCCUUCACCUUAAAUUUAAAGCAGCACCGAGCACAAGAAAAUUCAUACAAAAGAAAUCACAGUUAAAAUAGUUGUUCUGAUUUGGCUUUGGUUCCAUGAUGUUGCUAAUACUCUUCAAAAAUAUUUAUAGGUGUGUUUUGAAUCCUCCAAAAGUAGUGCAUUUUUGGAGGAUCUGUCACGUAGGUUCCAUGUUAUGUGAAUCUAGAGGCUCUUUAUCCUCACCAACCAUAGACUGAGCUUUUCAUGAAGGUAUUACAUUAUUUUAAGCAGCAUAAGAGAAAAAUAUUGAUGAAUUUGCUUUUCACCCGAAAACUAGUACGUGUGCUUAAUGUGAGAGAAGAAUUAUCAGCCUUGCAACUUUGUGCCACUAUUUUUGUUCUUGUUGCAGGUAAUGAUCUUUGAUGUAGAUAUAAUAGAC
Molecule: RNA transcript, 1731 nt
Organism: Solanum lycopersicum (tomato)
Lineage: Eukaryota; Viridiplantae; Streptophyta; Magnoliopsida; Solanales; Solanaceae
Gene name: mitochondrial arginine transporter BAC1-like
Source: RefSeq, a predicted model, not a curated record